GGAAUAAAGUACACCGAGAACCAUGAU
This 27-nucleotide non-coding RNA is filed under the name Cricetulus griseus (Chinese hamster). Lineage: Eukaryota; Metazoa; Chordata; Mammalia; Rodentia; Cricetidae. The record is from RNAcentral.